GUGAAUGGCCUUGUCCAAAAAUCACCAUCUCCCUUCUUUUAAGUUCUUUUUCUAUAUCUUUGUUUUGUGAGAAAAAGGUUAUAUUUGAUGAUGCAGAGGGUUUCUUCGGUUGAAGCUGUGAGGUUUGUGAUGGUGGUUUUGGUGGCCGUGGCAGCACUAAGCCAAGUGCAUGUAGCAGAGGCAGUGACAUGCAGUCCAACAGAGCUGAGCCCAUGCUUGGCAGCUCUCACGUCGUCGGCGCCGCCGUCCGGAGCAUGCUGCAACAAGCUGAGGCAGCAGAGGCCAUGCCUUUGUGGGUACCUGAGAAACCCUAAUCUGAGGCAAUAUGUUAACUCUCCCAAUGCCAAAAGGAUUGUUGCAACCUGUGGAAUUCCCUAUCCUCGGUGUUAGGUUUUAACUAAAUGUUUUAUCAAAAAGCUUGUCAUAAACAAAAAAGUCAUAAAUAAAAAAGUGUGUUGCAAGAUUGAUUAGUGAGUAUUAACGUGGAAUAUGCUAAAGUUUGUGAGUGACAGAUGGCUUGGGUGCCAUCAAUGUACUUCUGAAGAUGGAAUAUAUUGUAAAAUAUAUGGAUAAUGAACUGAUAAUAAGCUGUAUUUAUGUUAUGUACUCAUGCUCCCUUUUUUUUUUUUUUUUUUUUUUGGAGACUUCCUAUUUUUAUUUUCAUUAUUAUUAUUAGAUUGGUGCUAUUUACACUCUCAAAUUCACUUUAAAUAUUCUAUUACUUUGUACAGUAAUAUGCUAAUAUUUUUCAAACAAAAAAAUUAAGGUUUACUUCGUACACUUUUUAAAAUUUCAAAAAAAAUCUAUACUUGAACUAUUUAAAUUAAUUAACUUUAUCUAAUUGAAAUACCAAUAAACUAUUUAACACACCCAAUUUUACUGGGUUUGACACAUUUAAAACAAUAAAAUCAAACAAGUCAUAAAAAAAUUAUUUAACGCAAUUUUAGUUAUUAUUAUUAUUAUUUUAUUUCUGUUCAAUAUUAGAUCUUACAUCUAAAAUAACUUGCAAUGAGAAUACACUAAUAAAAAAAAUCUAUAAAUACUUAAAAAAAAAAAAAGGAGGAGAAAGAAGACGAAGAAGAAGGACAACUGGACAAGAAGAAUGGUCAAAAGCGGGAAAAAAAAAAGUUGUUUUACAAUACUUUGGUUCUUUUUUUGCAAAACAAAAAUAUCACACAUACUUUAUAUUAAUUUUUUAAAAAAAUAUUGAUUUUCUCACUGUCCAUCUAAAUAUUAAUUAAGAUAUUAAAAAUAAAAAUUUUAAGGUAUGAGAAUUAUACAUUGAAUUAUAAGUAUAAUAUAUGGGUGUUCAAAAUAAUUUAUAAUAUUGACUUAUAAUAAAUUAUUUUUAAUAGUAAUUUAUAUGAUAAAUAUUUUUACAAUAGAUUUAUAUUAAAAUAAAAGUGUUAAAAGCGAACCUCAUUAUUAUUGUUGUUAUUUCAAUUUUCCAUUUGGUUGAAAAUUGAAUUGCGUAAAGAUGAAUUACUCCUCUUCUUGUUUCCUUUUUAUACUUUUUAUUGAAUUGGUUGUUAGACUUGAUGAUAAUUCUCUUCAGUUUUUGUUACGGGAUGUGCAGAAUUUGAGAGAAAGCUAGCUAAUUAAGGACCAAUAAAAGUUAAAAAUUAACUAUUAUCUUAAUCACGCACCAUGAACACGGUUCUCUCAAUGUCAAUGUGAUGUGAUGUUACAUGAGCUACAGCUGAAUGUAAAAUCCGUCGUUUCAGCAAUAAUUAAGGCCUGAUUGGUGGGAUAAUUGUCUUUCCAAGAUGAAAUAAAAUUAGCAAUCAAGCUUCAAAAUUUUGGAUUUGGUACGUUUUUUUCAAGAUCUCAAUAAGAACAAGUUUGGUAUCAAUUGUCAAAUCUAAAGAUGCAAAUUUAGCCGUACAAAAGUUAACAACUAAUUAGUAACGGUAUCCUUUCGACAUUUGUAUGUAUAAUUAUUACGCAACCACUCUAGCUUUGCAUUACCUUAAUUUAUCAAAUAAAUUACUAACUUAAAUAAUUUUGAUAUAUAUGGUAUUCUUAAAUGAGUGUGUGUAUAUAUUGUCAUUUUAUUCUAAUUAAAAAAAUAAUACUUAAAAUGAUAAAAAUACAAAAUCAUUUUCCUAUUAAAGAAAUAAAAAAUGAAAAUUUAAUUUGAAACAAAGAAGAUUUUUACCUGAAUUCAUUCCUCUAUGGAGAGAGGCUCCAUGAAAGAAGAGAAUAGGGAGCAACCUUCGCCUGAGGUGGGGUUUCGGCUUCCUUACCUUAAGGUAGUGUUUACUUGUUGGAGUGAGAGUGAGGAGUCUGGAUUCCUCCCACUCCAGUGUUUACUUACUAAUUUUAAGGGGGGAGUGGAAAUCUCACUCCGUGGGACCCAUCUUUUUUUAGAGCGGGAAGUGGGAUUCCCACUCCCAUGGGGGGAGGUGGGAGUGGAAAUCCACUCCCCCCUCUUCUAUUUUUAUCCUUAUAUUUAAUUAAAUAAAAUAAAUAAUAUUUAAUAAAAUAAAAUAAUAUCAUAUUUACUUAAAUAAUAUUAUUAUAUUAUUUUAUAAAUUAUACUUAUUAAAAAUAAUAAUUUAUAUUGAAUCUAAGUUAAAAUUACUUAAAAAUAAUAUUAUUAUACUCAUAGAGAAUUAAUAAUAUUACUAUAUACUCUUUUUAUUUGAAAAUAUAAUAUUAUUAUAUUUAUUUAAAAAUAAUAGUAUUAUAUUUAUUUAAUAUUAGUAAUUAAUAAUAAUCAAUAUUUUAUUCUAAGAAAGUAUUAAUUUUGUAUUAUAUUAUUAAUAAUAAUGUUUCAUUUGUGUUGCUCUUAAUAAUAAUUUUUUUAUUUGCAUAAUUAAAAUUAAAUUUAAUAAAAAAAUCAUUUACAUAAUUAAGAAUAUUAAUAAUUAUUAUUAAUUUACAAAUAUAAUAAAAUAAAUAUUUUAUUUUUCAAAUCUAUUUUUUUUAUUAAUUUUGUAAUUAAAAACUAUAAUUCUUUAAAUAAGGAUAAAACUGUAAUUUAAAAUUAUUUACUCCCAAUUCUAUGCUCUCAUUCCAGUAUAAGUAAACAACUUACUCCCACUCCCACUCCACACUCCUAAUCCCAGAAUUCUCACUCCAAUCCAAAACGUAAACGCAGCAUAAGAGUGGACAGAUACUGAUCUCAGUUGUCGAUGGGGCAAGUAGUCCAAUGCAAAAUGCCCAACCAAGAUUUCUUUAUUCUUUUUAAAGAGAGGGAUUUAGAUAUUUUAAGAAAUUCUCGGCCUUUACCUAUCUUUACUAAAUAAAUAAGAAAAGAGAUGACUUUUUCGUUUGGUUGAUUACUGAAGAAGGCUCUUAUCUUGGUAAGUCUGUUCUCUUCCAGACAGUCUGUCUUUUCACCUAACAUAGUGUUAUAACGUUAAUUAAUUAUUUUAUUUUUUCUUCUAAAAACACACAAUAAUAUAAUUAAUUUUGUCAAUCUUUUUUUUAAGUUUUUUUGGGUUCAAUUAUCGAUACUCUUUGGUACAUAUUGAAUUGAAGUCAUUUAUAUAGAAUCAAACGUUUCUACUUUCUAGCACUUGUGAGUUUUGACUAGUUUAGUAAUAAUUGACUCUAACUUCUAAUGAAGGCGGCUAGAAAUAAUAUUGACUGUUAAUGCUUAUAAUCCAAUUAAUAUCACAACCAGCAACUUGAAGAUUAAGAAGGGAAAAAAAAGGAGAAAAAAGAUAAAGAAUAUAUUUAUUUAUUGGUUAAAUUUUUUAUUAUUAAUUCAUUUAAUCAUGCUAAUUAUUCAAUCACUAAUUAAUUAAAUUGUGAUGUUGAUUGGUUUUAUUGGUAAAAAGUUUUGGUAUAUUACAACUAAACAAGAGGGCUGAGGUUAGGAAUCUCACUCAUGAUCGAGCUUAAGAAGCGUUUGAUUUAUAUUUAUAAUUUAAUAUUUACAAAUUACUACAUCAUGAAACUAUAUUACUUUAAGUACAAUUAACAAUUGAUAAUCUAUAAAAUGACUUGUUAAUAGGAUAAGAAUUCGAUAUAGAUAAAAGAAAUAUAGAAUUAAGGAAUCCAAUACAAAAACAAUCAAAAGUAACAAUUUUAAUAUGAAUUUUUUUUUUGAUACACUGAUAUUACAAUUAAAAUACUACUAAUAUGUAUGAUUUAUCAAUUUUUUUGUGUCUUUUGAUGCGACUGUAGGAUACAAUCGUAAUAUUCUUUUCUUACUUAAUAUUGGAGAAAUUCCAACUUCCAAACGGAUGGAUGUCGACUUUAUUGGAGAUAAUUGAAUCCCAACAAAGCUAGGACUUGAAUCCAAGGUUGUUGCCAAUGCCCCAUUCAAAGUUAAUAAGCUUAGGUUUGCCAUAAAUGAUGAGAUGAUUUUCUAGAUUCUGUCUUUAUGAUCCCCCACCGAUCAACAAUCAACUGCAUUCUAAGGACACAUUGUUGGCAUCAGACCUGCUUACCCAAUUUUCAACAAUAAUUGUUUAUUAGGUCCCACGUCUAAAUUGAACAACGUCCACUUACACCAUGUUUCGUACGUAGUUUCUGUUGAGAUAAUAAAUAACAUCAGGAUACCAGUAGUUUUGCAUUUUAUAAAUAAGAACACAGUUUUUCAUUUGUAUUAACAAGGUCCCUUAUUCUAAUUUAUUUCCUAUUGAAAUUACCAAAUACACUUAGGUAGUGUUUGGUUGGAAGAAUGGGAAGGAAAUGAGAAACAAAAAGAUGAAUGAAAAAGAAAGAGGAAGGGAAUUUGAUUCAUUUGUUUGGGUUGUGAAGGAAUUGUAAGGGGAAAGGAAACAACUAUUAUGUAAAUGGGCAAAAUAUCAUCUACUCAAAUAUGAUUUAAUUACUGAUUCUAUUUUAAGAAAUAAAUAAAUUUAACAAUAAUGAUGGGAAUCUCAACAGUUGAGUCUCAAUUAUUAUGUAGCAUUCAUCUAUUAGAUAAUGGAUUUCAUAACCAAUAAAAUUAAUAUUCUACCAUCUUAGAUAAAAUACCACAUUAAUUAAGACUCAAUUAUUGGGAUCUCUAAUAAUAUUACACUUUAUGUAAUAGUAUUAAAUGAUGUUUCAACAAAUCUAAAUUCGUUGCAACCAUUUCAAAAUGUGAGAAACAUAAAUCAAACUAAAGAGAGCAAUGACCUCGAGAUUCUCCUUGCAUGUAGUUAGAGAGCUAAGAAAAUUAUUGUUCAAUAAACAAAAUCGGACAAGGCCAAAUUUUGGCUUACUAAAUUACGAUUAUCAUAUAAGUGCAAAUUUGGUAAUCAAAAUACGUAAAAGGGUAAACCGAAGGCUUAAUAAAUAAAUGGAACUGAAUCAGGAUUCCAAUUUCUUGUUAUUAAUAGCUUAAACUAAAGGGCGUUUUAGUGAUUUGAAUAAGGAUUAAGGACCUAUCUGAUACAAAUAGACAGAUUUAUACCUUACAUGAGAAAAUGUGGACCCAUAAGUUAUUUCCCUACUCAUUCUUUGUCUAUAAAUUGUGCAACAAGCCUUGUCCAAAUAUCACCAACUCCAUUCUCCAAGAUCUUCUAGUAUAUUUUUGUUUUGUGACAAAUAGUUUUGAUAAUGAAGAAGGUUUCUUCUGUUGCGGCUGUGGGCUUUGUCGUGGCGCUGCUGGUGGCUGUGGCAGCACUAAGCCAAGUUAAUGUGGCAGAGGCAGCGACGUGCAACCCUACGGAGCUGAGCCCAUGUGCGCCAGCAAUCACAUCGUCGGCACCGCCGUCGGGAGCAUGCUGCAACAAGAUGAGGCAGCAGAGGCCAUGCCUUUGUGGGUUCCUGAGGGACCCUAACCUGAAGCAAUAUGUUAACUCUCCCAAUGCUAAAAGGGUUAUUGCUACCUGCGGAAUUCCCUAUCCUCGGUGUUAGGGUUAAUAAUACGCCUUGUUUAAUUAGUGCUUAAAAGGAGGGUGUUACUAAAUAAAAUCUUGAGAGGUGCAUGGUUAUGUUGGCAUUAGUUUACUAGUGAAGCUAUGAAAAAAUAUAUGAAUAGCAAUAUGUGCGAAUAUGAGGUUAAUUAAUAAAAUAAAAUAAUAAGUUGUGGUUGUUGUAUUUAUGUUAUGUACUCAUAUGCUGCUUCUUUGUUUUCGUUAUUAUUUCUGUUGUUGUUAUUAUUUUAAUUUUCUUUUUAUUAUUUGUUUUUUUUGGGGUAAUACAUCGACUAAACGCAGUUGCUUUUGCAGUAGUUUUGAGUUUUAAAAACAGUAAGCAGUCCCUCAAAGAUAACGAGGGAUUAUGGACGUGGAAAUCAUUUUCAAAAACGGUUAUCUAUCCAUUAUAGGUAUAUUUAAAAAAAUAAGAAAUUAAACAGUCUAAUCAACCACAGACAUGAUUUUUUUAAAAAAAUUAUCAGGGGGUCAAUAAGAGAAGUGAAGGAUCUUUAGUUGUUGGUAAUCUUAAUUUUCUCCUCUUACAAUAAAAAAGAAAAAAAUCUUAAUUUCCUCUCUUUCUGCUGCGACGUCUUUUUUUUUCAUUUUUCCUUUUCAACUGGGAUUUAAGAAAUGAAUUUUUGGUAACUGCACAAAACUUGAAAAUUGAAAUCUAACGUUUGGGCUGGACCCGUGGCCCAUGGCAAGACAUCUCAGUAGCCUCUGUUUGUCUCGUUCGUGCGCCUUUAAGAAUUAAAGUGGGGCUAUCAGCACCCCCUGAUAUCCUUUUCAAACCCCUUUUCUGUUUAUUUCCUCCUCAAUUCCUAAAAUAGCCUUUAUCUGUAAUGUUUCCGCAAACAAUUUCGACCUCCUUUCAGUUAUCACUCUUCAACCACUCCCACUUCAAGUUUCUUCUUUUUAUAGGAAAGGUUGUUGAUAACAACCCAAUAUUUUGUAUCGCAUGCGCUUAAUUUAUUAUGAGGUUUUUAUUUGUUUUCGUUUUAUACUUUUCAGUUUAUGACAUUAUAUUUCAAAAUAAAUAUGUAUAAAAUACACGCAAGGUUUAGUUAUCUCCUAGCAUUCUAAUAACGUUGGUAAUUUAUGAAAAUUUUAUAAAAUUAUCUUUCCUACAAAAAUAAAUUGUUAAGUGAAAAAAAAAAUACUUUAUAUCAAAUUCUUACUCUUUUACCAUUGACCUUUUUUUUCCCAAAAAAAAAAUUGCAACUUUUAAGUGCUUUAGUGGAGAAAGAGUCAGUGAGAAAAAAUCAUAUAUGGAUUUAAUAAGAUAAGAUUUUACAGCUAAUACAAUUCAAGAUACAAGGGAUAAAAUUGUAAAUGUAUAACAAGAGGGGUUUUAUAAGAAAAACACAGGGGUGCGAAUAGCAUCACUCUAAGAAUUAAGACCUCCGUUCAACUCUCGCAUUCUUCUCUUUUCUUGUUUUAUUUUACCCCCCCCCCCCCCCCCCAAAACACACACACAAAGACCAAAAAAAAAAAAAAAACCAAUUGGAUACUAACGAAAAAUUAAAAGAAAAACGUUCGAUUCGAAUGCAUUUAUUUUUAUUUUUUUAUAGGAAUCAAGUUGAGAGGAAACUAUCUUUGAAAAUUCUCGAUGAAAGAAUUACGGUUAGUUUAAAUUUUGCUCUUAGGGUUCUGCUUGAGUAAUUUUUAAAUAAUUUUAUUUAUUCAGUCACCUUAGUUUGAAUCCUCAAUGAGGUAAAGAAUUAAAAUACUAAUUUGGAGUUUGUCCACCCCUCUAUCUUUUGAACAUAAAUAAAAUAAGAAAAAAAUAAAAUAUUGGUCUGGAUUUUAAUAACAUGCAAUCAUAAUUAUAUAGAGAUAACUCAUCUAAGUUCAAUCUAGUUACAAGUAGAUCAGUUGCUCCGAAAGUGAACAAAAAUAAAGAGAUUUUGAUAAAUAUUUUGAUUAUCUUUGAAACUUUCUUCAUAAAAUUAUGGGUUCAAAAUUUAAGAGAAAUGUUAGACAUAAUGAAGCCAAUUAACAUUCAUGAACGAAACAUUUAUACAGAAACCCCAUGAACUAACACUUGUCCUGUCUCUCCAUCCAACAAAAGACACCUCUCACAAGCCCUUAUUCGUUGUCAGCAUCAACUAAAGCACACGAAUGCAUGUUUUCAUCACCUCAUGAUCUUUGCUUGCAUCUAUAAAUAAUAAUUCAGCGGCAAAGCCAUGGCCUCAUGCACCAUUGACUAAAUCAUGAAGAAGAAUAACAAUAAUGUAUCUGGUGCUUUCAUCUUCAUGGCGUCAGCACUGCUGCUGGCUACUGUAGUGUUUUCUAGGGAACUGCCCGUGGCUGAGGCAGUGACUUGCAAUCCCUCGCAGCUGACUCCGUGCCUGCCGGCAUUCACAUGGACGGCGCCGCCAUCAACCGUGUGCUGCAACAGCUUGAGGCAGCAGAGGCCCUGCCUUUGCACUUACCUUAGGAAUCCACUCUACAAGCAAUAUUAUGAUUCUCCUAAUUCCAGAAGGAUUGCUGUAACCUGCGGCGUUCCAUUUCCUAGGUGUUAAUCUUGCUUCUUGCUUAACAAUGAGUGUAAUGAUAAUCAAUAAUGAAUAAUCAAAACGAAUGAAUAAUAAAAAUUUUUAUGUCGUAUGUUAUGUUCCUACUUCUAUGCAUAUUUUUUCUUCCGUUUAAUUCUUAUCUUAUAUAUCUCUUGCUUAAUUAUCUACAAAAACAAUAGAGAAACUUGAUAUGGAUUCGGAUUUUUUUUAAAAAAAAAUUUUAUUAGUAACUCACAUACCCAUUCAAGUUCAAAAUUAGAAUCUGAACCUAAAAAUAAUUAUCCUUUAGUACUAGAACUAGAACUUAGCAUCUAAAUAUAGAUAAUCUAUUAUUUACACGCAGCGCUAGCAAUUUCUAUCUUUGCAGGGUUGCGAUUAGAAUUCAAUUAGACGCCUUCCUUCUAUAUAAACCAAUUGAUUAAAAUGAGAUAAUUUUGAAGAGUAGUGUUUUUCUUUUUCUCCUUAAGAUCGAGUUAAAGCCUUCUCAAUUAUGAUAUUAUAUAGCCGUUGAAUGUUCUUCUCCUCCACAAAUCAAUACAAAGUUUUAUUCUCAAGAACAUCCCAUUGGUCAUUGCUUCAAUCAUAUCUUAUUGAAAAACAUUAUAGUUUUUUAUGAUCAAAGUUUAUGAUUCUCAACUAAUUACUUGUUUUGUAUUAAUGAAACAUCAAUAUCUAUAUUGUGACUGUUAAUGAACCAAAAUAUAUUUGAUAGUAUAAAUGGUCUCCUUUUUUUUUUUUAUUGUUAUCUAGUUUCUAUCACGGAGGUGUAUGCUAAUGGCACAUUUAAAAAUAUCAAAAUCUAAAAUAAAAGGUAUUUUAUCGGAACAAUCAAUUUUAUGUCUAUUAGCGCUCAAAUUAACAAGUCAUAAUCUUCUCAUUAAGUGAAGUCCUUGGUAUGAAAAAAAAAUGCUUUGAUUAACACGUUUUGCUAAUAAUAAUAAAUAUAAGGAGCAAGAACAAUGACAAAUCAUCUACAUUGAUACUCACACUGUAUCAUCACUUCAUCAACUAAUUUUUGUUCAUAUUUUUUGUAUUAGAUAAAAUCUAAAUUAGCGGAUUUUUGUAAUUAAAAAAAAAAGGAGAGAAAGUAAUCCUAUUGAAUUGAUGAAAUGGUCAUGGGAAAGCAUUUUAUUUUUAAAAUAGAUUUGUAAUUAAUGACACUAAAUCACGCGAUGUUAUUUGUUUUUCUUUUACUAAUUGUUUGUUAAUAUUAACUACGUUGGGCCUAAUUCGUUGAACAUCUAAGCCCAAUUGACUCACUAAUAGGACAUUCCUUGAAGACAUGGGCCCACUGGAUGCCGACAACUCAUACUGAAUUGUCAUCCACAGCGUUCGUUCAAGUUGAAGGCCACUAAAUUACCUAUUUGUCCCUGGUUGAUUUGUGGAGGAGAAGAACAUUCAACGGCUAUAUAGUAUUAUGAUGGAGGGAUCGAUGGGGUAUUAAUUCACUAGCAAAACUUUGCCUUGAAAGAGGCAUACCAAUAUUGGGAAUUUGAAGGGUUCUCAAAUCCUAAAUGUUGCUUGUGGAGGCACCCUUUAUCAAGAUGUGAGUACUGAACUUUCAAAUAAAUGCCCUAAUGGUACUCAUAGAGUGAGUCACAUCAACUAUGAUGAUUAUGAUGGGCAUAGGCAUAUGAUAAAGGUAAUUGAAAAUACCCCUUGGCAAAAUUGGUUCAAGGAUUCUAUUGAUAAAGAAAAUAUGGAAGUUUUGGUGAAUAAUUAUCACCAUCAAGGUGUUAAAAGAUUAGCCCAAAGAUUUUUUCCGAUGGCUUUCGCACCUGAUGGUUUAAUUGAAGGGUUCUAUGACCCUGAAGCUUAUAAUCCUCGAGAGGGUAAGUUCUUAGUAGGACUACAAUUUCAUCCUGAGCGAAUGAGGCUGCCCAGUUCUGAAGAAUUUGACUAUCCUGGAUGUCCAAUUGUUUAUAAGAUAAAAUAAUGUUUUUAUUUUAUUUUUAUAUGUUUUUAAUUAAUUUUUUUAUAAUUAAUGAUACAGCAUUGAUUAGUUUGAAAUAAAACUUCAAGAAUUUGUAAAGGCAGUGAUUGCUUACCAGAAGAGGAUGAAUAGGGCAUCAUAUGUGCCCAAUUUUAUACCUCUACAGCAGAAAAUUGGGAAGAGCAAAGUACUUGUUAAAAGUUUCACUCCUGCAAAAGAUAUAAACAUCUCAGGCCAAACGGCGCAUCCAUCAGAAGAAUCUGAACUUCAAGCUGUGGCAGAAUUUCUUGAGGUAAUAAAUUAACGUGGUAGUUCGGUGUCUACUUUUGUUAUUUUUGCAGUCCGAUAUUGCGGCUCCAGGUUUCCAGGAAUAUGAGAUGAGUCUAAGGCUGAUGCAAAUGGGGGCAGCAGUUAGAAAUUCAUCUUCCUACUUGAGAAUGAAAUUGAAUCCGGACAAGAUGUUGCCAGGUAAUGUAGUUGGAGCAAUGUCAACGGGACAAUUGUCCAAUCUUAUGUGUGCUCCCGAUUAGUGCUUUGUCACGCUGUUGUUAUCACUUUAAUUCAGUCAUAUAUGCAUGAGACCCCCCCCCCCCUCCCCCCCCCCCCCUCUUUAGUUUAUGUUUCCCCUUUGAAAGAAAUAGUAUUGAAUUGAAAAGUGCAAUUAAUUAUCGUAAUGACUUUUAUUCGGAUGCUCCAUUAUCGACAUUAAUUUCUCCAGAGUAUCUAUUUGAUUUGUUUUAUUUUAUAAAAGCUCCUUGAAGAGUCAAGCAACUUUAUAGUAUUCACCAAGUGUUACAUGUGCUUAAUUAAUUAAAGAACAUGUUUAUCACGUGAUAAUAAAUAAGUAAUCAAUUUUGUCAGCUUUAUCAAUGAUUUCCUUUACUUGAAUAUUGCCUCUAAUUGACCCGCACAAUGACAAAGAUACUGCCUUUAAUUAUACAACGUGUAUAACGCGCGCGCGGUCACACACAUGUUGCUUUGAAAAAUUUCUUGUGCUGGAAAUGGAAUCAAAAGCACUGAAAAAUGGAAUAGCAAAUAUUUAGAAUUAAAUUGAUCAAUGGCUCCAAAAUAAAUGUAGUUCACCGUCCAUGAUUGUGAAACAAGAGUAAAGUUAGGGACUUCGAGAACAAAUAAAUAAGAGUAUGCCCGUCGCCUUUUACAUUUUAAUACAUUAUUUGGAAAAUCUAAGCCACAAAUUGUAUUGGACGGUGAAAAUUAAAAGACUGCAAAUUUGAUUAUAUCCGGAUGUACGCAUAAUAUAAAUUAUAUAUAUAUAUAUAUAUAUGUGUGUGUGUGUGUGUGUGUGCGUACACUGUUGAAAUAUUACUUACCUCUUAAACUUGACUUCUCUAUACACUCUUUAAUUUUUUACUAACUCAAGGAUUUAUUUACUCUUUGAUGUUAUAACUUAGGAUAGAAUACAAUAGAAUUUAUAAGGUGAUAUAGCAAAUGGAAUGGCUAGGGGCAUUUAUAUGAUUUCCUAAAACUAGUAGAUGGCUAUGAUUUUGCCAUCAUAAAUUUUGAUUAAUGGUUGAGAUUUAUCCUUCCAUAAUAUAAUUGUAAAUUUUAGAAUUUAUAAAUAUUUCUUAUUGCAUAAUUACUUUUUUUUUUAUUACAUGAGACUAUUGCUCAGAUUACAACUCAUAUUACAUGAGACUAUAACUGAUAUUUACAAAUCAGACAAAUACUGGGACCAACUUACAUCAAUGCUAAUGGAGUUCUGCCUAGAUUUUAACCCUCACAAAUAUUCGAGGGAUGUCUACUCCUCACUCAUGGAUAAGGGAGAAGACUACGUUCACUCAAAUUAAUUGAAAAAGAAAAUACACCCACAAUACUUUUGUGGGGGUUCGAACUGCUGCCCUCCAAGUUGGAUUGGAGGGCAGCAGCCCUGACCACUCGGGCUGAGCCGAGUGGUUUAUUGCAUAAUUACUUAUAUCAUCGAUUAUGUCAUUAUUAUUCUAUAAUUUCCUAUCAUAAAUAUUUUAUACUAUUAUUAUUAUUAUUUUUAAAAACUUAAUUGAAGGGAUAAGAUGCUUUAAUUCACAUGCACAAAGCACAAUGACAAAGAUACUAUCUUUUUUUUUUUUGAUACACUUAUAUAUUAUAAUCUUGAUAUUUUACAAUUAAAAAUUUACCGGGACUUGUCAUGAGUAAUUUUAUUACAACACAAUUCGAAUAUCAAUUCUCACUAACUUGGAAGGAAAUUUGCCCUCACUAUUAAUAUUAGAGGGAAAUCAAUUAUAUCUCAAUAUUGAGAAGCCAACUAACUCUCAUUAUAUAAGGAGCAGCGUUGGGACUUGAACCCAUGCCCUCAAGGUUGUUGAGGGCAUAGGCAUGCCAAUGGGCUACAGGCCUGUUGGCACAAAGAUACUGCCUUUAAUUACGGAAUAUGUGCAUCACAUAAUAAUAAAUAAGUGGUCAUCAAUUUUAUCAAUUUCUUGUCAUUCCCCUAUUUCUUAAUGAAUUAUGUUACUAUGUAUUUAUGUUUAUAAUUUCUUCAUUAUAGUCCUCAUUCGCUGGCCCUCUUUUUAUCAAUCCGCCAUGCUAUUGUUUUCUAUAAUAAACACCUCAAGUAAAGAAGAUGAAUGUCAAGAAUUUUAAAUUAAAGCUUGUCUUUUCUUUUUUUUCCCUUCUCUAGUGAGGGUGCUCGCUUUUUUUUAUUUUUAUUUAUGUGAACAUGCUCUUAAAUUGUGUGGUUUAAGAGAGUCGGAUUUUAAUACUUAUAGUGUGUGUAUUAAUUUUGUUUUUGAAAGAAACAAAUAUUGUCAAGUUUUCAAUCUAUAUAUCUUAAUUCUUGAUCCAAUGAGAACUCAUCGUUUCCCUCACAUUAUUAUUUUCUCUGUAAGAACUAUAUUUAGCAAUGAGUUUGUAAAUUCAGUUUACGAUUUUUUUUUAUUUCAUUUAACUAUAUUCCAUUAUAUGUAACAAUAUUUUAAUAAAAAUUAUAGAAAACAAUAAAAGGUAAUAACAAUAUAACUAGUUAAAUAAAUAUUUAUCCUUUUAUAUAAUUUUCUCUAACAAUAUAACUUUAAUUACGUAGAGUUUUAUAAGUAUUUUGAAGGGGUGUGAAAGGCAUUAGUCGAUAGCUAAACCAAAAAAGUCAAUUCCACUUAAAGUUGGACCAGCUGUUUUUUUAUAAAUAAAUUUAAUUUUAUUUGACUACAAAUAUUCUAAAUAUUAAAUUGUUUGAUAAAUUUUGAUAAUUAUAUUUAUAAAAAUCAUCAACUUUUAUCCUAUAAAUAGUAAUUUACUAAAACACUCAACAAUAACUAUAGUUUUUAAGCUGUAGCAUCUCAAUACUAAUUAGACCUUUACUUUAUCCCAUUAUCUAAUAAAAGAAUGUCAAUCAAGAUUUAGAUACUGUUUAUUAGCCAAAAUAUCUCAUACGUCCUUAGUUUUAUUUUCGUUCAAUUAUUAAUUUCUAUUCCCCUAGUUUAUUGACAAUCACAUCAUGCACUUUAAUUUAAUAAAAAUAGCCGUGCACGCAUAUUUCCAUUGUGAAAAUUCAUUUUAAGUCCAACUUAUCACAACACUGAGUGAAGUAAUUUACCAACUAUUAUAGUAUCCAUGUGGUAAAUAGAUGUUCGAAAAAAUAAGUACUCUCCAAAAGGCUUUUUCAAUAUAAAUAAAUUUAUAUUAUUUUAAUCAAAUUCUCCUCUCAUUAAAUUUAAUUACCUUCUAUUUUUCUACUAAUUCUUUCUUUUUUUUAAAAAUGAAAUAAGAAAAUAUUAUAAUAUUAAUUUAAAGAAGAAGAAAUCACUUUUCAAUAUUAAAGAAAGAAGGACAAUUUCAUUUAAAAAACCUUUCAAAACCUUUAUCAUUUAUGUAGAAUUUCAAGUAAAAAUAAAAUCUCACUCUUAUAGUUAAAAACGUCAUAUAAUGUAUCAGUUUACAAAAAAUAUAUGCUUAAACAAAAUUCUAACACAUAUAUUCAUUAGUUUAAAAUUUGCUAAUUACAUUGGUAUAGUUAAAAUUAAUCAAUGCAUGCAGUGUAUACGUGGCAUAUGGUAUUACUAAAUCGAGCUCGUGGGCAAUUUGAAUUUCUGGAAGGAUUGGACAAAUACAAUCCAUCGGAGACCAUAGCUCUCGCUGCGACGAAGGUGCGACAGAUGGACGUGCAUGCAUAAAUACACAAGUCGAGACUCAAUACACGACCCCCAUAAUAAACAGUUGCAUGCCGACAACAGAAGUAUCGUCAUCACCCACCUCACAAGGAUCAUUAACUAACUGAUCUUUUUUUUAAUAAUUCCACAUAACGAUCAUCAAAGCUUUUAAUUACACCAUAAUCUUUGGUAGGAUUAGGCAGAUUUCUGGAGUCUUGACUCUUGCCACUAUAAUUAGAUGGGAUAGACCUCCCCCAUAACAAGCCCGCUCCCAGAUAAACCCUUCGCUCGAACCAUGUUUGCGGUCAAUAAUUAAAAGCUAAGGCGAGAAUAACUUUUUAGCUCUUGUAAAAACUUGAUUUGAAAAUUUGAUUUUAUUUAAUUGGUAAAUAUAAAAUGUACAUUUUUAAGCUUACGUGCCUGAUCUCGUUGAUACGAGCGAGGAGGAGGUUUCAAGCGUGUAUUAAAUUUUUAAAAAUAUUCAGACAAUAUUUUCAAACCCCCCACAAUGAAAAAGAAUUGUUUCUCUUGUUUAUCUAAAACUUCUAUAAAUUGAGUAUGGCAUAUUGAAUUUAUUGAAUUUUACAAAACAAACCAAGCGAACUUGAUUUAUAUUUUAUCUACUAAAGUGUUAUAACAUUUAAACCACAACUACUGAAAAAAAUGAUAAUUAAAAAAAAAAUUUAAUGAUAUCUAGUAAAAUACAUAAUUCUUAAUCAACUUAACUUUCUAAACCACAGCAACAAAUACUUAUCAAAUGCUUUAACAUUGUAAAUACAACUGUGCAAGUACAAUAUCAAAUAGGACCCUUGCCCCUCUAGCAUGUAAAUCCAAUUCAUAAAUAACUUUGCUACUUCAGCUGUCCCCACGUCAGCUCCUCCUCGGCUUUGACCUGACUCAGGCACGCCUCCCUUGGAUUCAAAGGGUCAAGAUAAGCAUUAGCCGGCCACGUGUCAAUAGUCUCCACGUAUUCUUAAAAUCCAGGAAACGCGGUCCAUGUUCUGUGUCUGUUCGUCACUUCUUUCGAGUUCAUUAACGUUACUACGUAGUUACCAAUAUGCACGUCACAUUGCACCAUUUAACAUUAUAAUUUCAAUACAUAAAUAUUAAUUAUUUAAAAAAAAAUUUCUAUUAACAACCAUUUCUAAAAUUGUACCAUUAUUAGUGCUUGAAAUAUAAGAAGGGUAAGCAGAAUUUAAUAAAUUAAUGAUAAAUUUAAAAAUUAAAUUAAAAAAAUUAAAUUGUGUGUAAUAUGGUAACACCAUUAUAAGUUGUGGCACGCAGACCCUAACACUAGGACGAGGAGUUAUUAAACGCGGCGACUGGACUGUGCGCACAUGUUCAACUCUCCAGCCAUCCAGAAUAAACUAAUACUAAUUAGAAGCAAAUCAAACCCUAUUCGAUUUUGAUCUCUCCUCUGAUAUAUAUAAAUACAACCCAUAGCAGAAGCUUAAUUUACAUGUGCUAACAGAAGCUAACUAAGCCUUAUUUAUUAAUCAAUGGCUGCUCACGAUCUCUCUGUGAUCCUCCCUCGUGUUCUCAUCGUCUCUAGACGCAGCGUCCGCAAAAACAAAUUCGUAGAUUUUGUUGGUACUCACCCUCUCUCUCAAAUUUAAUGUGUUUCAUAUUAUAUGACAUUUUUUUUUUUUGCUCUUGUGAUCAUUUAGAUAAUUAAUUUUCAGGUGAAUAUCAUCUUGAUCUUAUAGUCGGUUACGGGGCAGUACCAGCUAUUGUGCCCCGAGUAAGCGGGGUGCAUAUGUUACUAGACAGCUUCGAGCCAAUUCAUGGCGUUCUUCUAUGUGAAGGAGAAGAUAUUGAUCCUUCUUUAUACGAAGCCGAAACGUCAAAUCUUUCACCAGAAGAAUUGGAAGAAAUCAGGAGAUUGCACGCAAGUGAUACAGCAAUUGAUAAAGAAAAGGAUUCAAUUGAGUUAAGGCUAGCAAAGCUUUGCCUCGAAAGAAACAUACCUUAUUUGGGAAUUUGCAGAGGGUCACAGGUCCUAAACGUUGCAUGUGGGGGUACCCUUUACCAGGACAUAGAGAAGGAAGUUUCAAGAAAGUGCCCUGAAAAUCAGAGGGUUGUGCACAUCGAUUAUGACAAUUACGAUGGGCAUAGACAUGUGGUGAAGGUCGUGAAGGAUACGCCUUUGCAUGAUUGGUUUAAGGAUUCUCUGGAAGAAGAGAAAAUGGAGAUUUGGGUUAAUAGUUAUCAUCACCAAGGUGUUAAGAGAUUGGCACAACGUUUUGUGCCUAUGGCUUUUGCACCUGAUGGUUUGAUUGAAGGGUUUUAUGAUCCUGAUGCUUAUAAUCCUGGAGAGGGUAAGUUCAUAAUGGGGCUUCAGUUUCAUCCAGAGCGAAUGCGGCGGCCUGAUUCUGAUGAAUUUGAUUAUCCAGGGUGCCCGUCCGCUUAUCAGGUUUUAUAAUUCUCACCAGUGUGGUUUUUUGAUACAAUAUUGAAAAUGUUUAUUCCAAUUUUAUUUAUUUGGUUCUUAAAUUUGUGCAGGAAUUUGUGAAAGCAGUGAUCGCUUACCAGAAGAAGCUUAAUAUUGCAACUGCUGUUCCAAAGCCUCUAAAUCUAAACAAAGAAAUGGAGAACAAAAGAAGAACAAUAGUUCGAAGUUUCUCAUUGGCAAGGAAUAUAUACAUUACUGGUAAUGGGAUGAAUCCAUCAAAAGAAUCUGAACUUCAAGCAGGGGCAGAGUUUCUUGAGGUAUCCCACAAAAUUCUUGAUUCAAAUUUUCUGAUUAUUUGUUUGCAUUAUGUGUUACAUAACCUUUUAUCUGACUUGUGAUAUAUUAUUUCUUGUUUGCAGUCAAACACAGCUCUGAGUUUGCAGCAAGAGAAUAGAUUGAAGCAAAUGGGAGCAACUAUUAGAAAUGGAAGUUCAUAUUUGGAGAGAUUGAAGUUGAACGAGGAAAGAGAAAGAUUAGCCCGGAAUGUAAUAGGGAAAAUGUCAGUGGAGCAGCUAUCUGAUCUCAUGUCUUUUUACUUUACGAUGGGCCAGAUUUGUUCAGAAGUGCUGGAAAAGAAGCUUCAUGGUAUUGUCAAUAAUGACUCCUUAUGACAGGGCAGAUACGGUCAGAAUUGCUGUGAAUUAAAGAAUGGUUUUGUCAACUAAAUUUGUUUUUUUCUUUUUUUACUCCCCUUUUGUCCAUGCUUUUGGGUUUCUUGUGUAAUCUUUGCUGUGAAUUUGAUUAGGAUUUACACUGAACUUGGUGGACAGGUUUCGGUCUUCUGAAUGUGAUUUCCCUUUUUGUGUAUGCGCUUCUAUGAGCCACUUUUUGCAAAUUGCAAAGUUGGUGAAUCAUCGAAACUGCAAAUUUCUUGUGUGGUUCAAUUCAAAUAUCAUUGAUACAGGUGCCAGGUUAUCGUCUUUUCAAUGUGAUUUCCAAUUUCGUGCGUCUUUAUGUGACCCACUUUUUGCAAUAUUGGUGGUAGUAUGAUCAAAUUCAAAAGAGUGAUUUGAUGUUUGGUUUGAUACAUAAUGACAAAGCUUUUUCAUUACUUUUCUUGACUUGCAUCUAUAUUUGUAAAUGAAGUCAAGAUAUUAUAAGUAAAUGAGGAUUUGCUUGACAACUCACUCAUACACCACAGUCAUGAAAGAUAAAGUUGAUUUAUUAGUUGACAACCUACUGCUUUUAGUGUGAAUGAGCGGUUUAUAGAGACUUAGAGAGCAAUUAAAUGGAUUAACAAACCCUAUAUAUAUUAAAAAAACACACACACACACACACAAAUGGUUGGAUUAACAAACAGCCAUGAGGGCCCCCUGCCAUUUGGUCGGUGGCACUAAGCCAUUCCCUCCACAAGGGGUGGCCAGGGUAUCCUCCCAGUGCAGUCAGAGCAGUCCCUUCCAAAAAUAACGAGGAUGAAUACAUACUAGUGCGGAUGCAGAAAAUUGAUUCAUGUGGGGGCAACAUUAUGAUAAUAAAUAAUAAUAAAUAAAUUUGAUCUCAAUAUCAAAAUGCGUAAAAAAUUGCCUCAUUGAAAGAUAAUUUUUGCAAAAAUUAAUAUGGAAUUAAGAGAAAUUUAUUUUUAAAUGAGAUUAAUCACCCAUACUCCUUUGAGUAUAAACAUUCAUUGCGAAUUAAGAAAUUCAAGUUAUAUAAUAAUAGAAAUGAUUUAGCUAAUCCUAAUAGUUCUCUCAUUGGAAAUUUAUCGGUGUUAAAAAAAUAACAUAAAAACACACACACGUGGGCUAGAUUAAUGGGCUGCUCGCUAUAGGUGUAUGGUAUGGGUCCCUGAGAGGGGCCUUGGCCCUCUAGGUUAAAAAAAAAAAUUUAAAAAGAUAAGGUACUGAAUUGAUAUUGCUCAUUUCUAUUAAAAAAAAAUUAAGAUUAAGAUUCUAUUUUAAUCUAAUCCUUCCUUAACGUUAAUUACUGAUAUGACUAAUUCCCUCAUUCAUAAUUUCUAAUGCCAUUAAAUUGAAGUUACAAUAAUCCACACCCACUUCUUUCCCAUGUUUCCAUUUUAGUUUCAAUAACUGCUUCUACCUAAACUGAGAAUUAUGGUAAAAGCAAGCAAAGGCGCUUUUCAAUCAAUUCUUACAACCACCACACGACGAACAUAGGGACCGGACCAUACCAUAGAUGAAUACAUACAUACAUACAUACAUACAUACAUACAUAUAUAUAUAUAAUGUAUGUAUGUAUGUAUUAAUCUAGUUAAUUGCAACACAUUUUUUGAUCCUACGGUGGAUGCUUUAUGAGCUGCAUCGCCAAUAAAAAACAUAAACAUGGUUUACACGCCACUUCAUCACUCGGUCAUUUAUCUCGUGAAACUGCCCGGCGUUGGCUUGACGCGGAAACUGUGAUUUGACUCUCAGACCCUUCUUGUUAAAAAAAUCUUCAACUCACGUGUAAUUUGCGAGCCUUUUAGUCACGCGAAUUGAUUGCACUUGUCUUGCAGUCCCCGGUCGCCAUGCGGUAUUAAUUUCGACGACUCUCCCUCACGCAUCAGCUUCAGAAUCCACUGAGAUCAGGCCACCACGUGUUGGCUAUGGCAACCAAAAGACUUCGGGGGGUAGGGUUUCAAGGAAAUUGAAGUUACCUAUUUCUUAAAAUGUAUUUUUUUAAUGUUACAUAAUAAGUCUACUAAUAUUACUUUCAUAAUAAGUUUGCUUUUUAUGAUGUAUCUUAAGCUCAACGCAGGUUUUGUUUUUGUUUUUUAAAAAAAUUCAUUGGCAGUUGUAUGAUCCUGCAUCAAAAGUUUGACUGCACCAGAAAACUCGAAUUCUCAAUAGGGAUGGUAAAAAAACCCCGUAGACUUGAAGUCUGAUUUUUAUCGGCUGGGUUUGAAUAUGGGUAAAAAAAUAUAAAUUAAUUUAUAAAUAAAAAUAAAGAGAAAUUUAAAUAAAAAAGAAAAACUUAAAAUAAUAUUUUUUUUAUAUUAAUACUUGUAAUUUAUUAUGUUGUGUGUACUAAUAUUUUUGUGUAUUGAAUUGUUAUUCUAUUAUAUAUUAGAUAAUUAUCUUUAAUUUAAUUUUUAUUUUAUUUAAAAAUUAUUUCAUAAUUGAUGAAAAAACCUAGGCUUGGCCCAAGUCUAGGUUUGGACAGGCUUUUGGAAGGCUUGCGAUUGUUUUCAAUAAUGUGGGCCUAAGUCUAAACUUUAAAAAGCUCGACACAAACCCACAAAUUGCCAACUCUAAUUUCCAAUCUCAUUUAUGAGGUUAUGAUUGUUCACAAAAUCUAAGAGUCUCGGUAUUGUUUUUAAAUUGAUAUUUUCUAAAACUAAACAUAAGAAUAAAAAUGAUUUUUUUUUUGCAAUUAUUAUAUUUUGAAUUGAAGUAAACAUCUAGUAUUAUUUUUUAUAUCCUACAUUUUAAAAUUGAAAAUAGUAAAAUGUAUUCAAUAGACACAAUUGAAAAUAAUAAAAAUAGUGAAUAUGUGUUUUGUAAUACCAUUUUCAAAAACAAUCUUUAUUAAACAUUUAAGUCAUAAUAAAAUGUGUUGCAUUUGUUAAUAAAUAUAAUAACUUCAAUAAUAAAAAUGUCUUGCACUUGUUAUUGUUCUUAGAUUAAAAUUAAGUCAGGUAUUAAAGGAUUAAAGUCCUCAAGCAUUGUCUCAAUUGGUAAUUUGGUAUUCAAAAAAUUAAUUAAGAUCAAAAGAAACAUUACUAUAUCAAUGGAAGCAUUUACUCUUAAGAAGAUAAAGUUCUAUAAGAAAUUCUAAUCCUCAUCCACGGCAGCCAUUUGCACCCAUGGCAAGCAUUAAAAAAAAAAAAUCAAUGAAAUGCUUAUAUAUAUAAUCAUUCUCAAGUGGGACGUCUAUAUAUUUUUUUUUAUCGAACACACUGUUAAAUUGUACAGUUUAAAAGAAUUGGUUUUUUAAUUAACUAUAAAACCGUGCAGUUUUAUAGAAUUAAAAACUAAUUCUUUUAAACCGCACGAUUUAAAAGCAUGUCCGCAUGAAAAAAGAAUGAGGAAGCCCACACUCAAAAAUGACUAGAUAUAUAUAUAUAGACAUAUACACACAGACCAACAUCACAUUGCUACUAAAACUGCUCUCGAUCAUCUCAAAUCUCAAAAUUUAACAGACAUGAUCAUGAAUUGAUGACAAUUUUGCAACUGCUUACUACAUUUUUUUACGUAUUGUAAUUUAAAAUAAUCGAUAAAAGAUUAAGAAGAUGAGGAAUAAAUAGAUAGCAAAUAAUACAUGGUCAGAUAUUUAAAAUUACAAAAGUAGAAGCCAAAGACCUUACAACAAAAUAAAACCAGAUGAAUAAAACAUAACAAAAUGACUCAAUAAUCUAUAGAGAUUUGUCUCUCUGUAAACAAAGACAAGGAAGUGUUAGAUGAACCAAAAAGUAAAAGUAAAAAAAUCGUGCUAAAGAAAUGAAAAAAUUAAAUUAAAUUAAAAGGAAAAAAAACUACAUGUAAAAGAUGAAGAAGAUGGGAGUUAAAGAAAAGAUUUUCUGGUAAGAGAGAGAGAAAAGAAGAUUAUGAGAGUGCAAGAGAGAAAAGAAGAUUGUGAGAGUGCGAGAUAACGUGCAGUGGAAGGGAGAGAAGAAGAAGAAGAGAUAAAAAUAUAAUUUUAUUUGCUGAGCUUUGGAGAAUGUAUAGUAUAUUAUUUUAUAAUUUAUUUUAUAGUUUGUUUUGUCAUUUAGAGCAUAACUUAUUGUGUUUUUAUUUUUAUUUUUAUAAUAAAUGGGCAUUUUAUUUGAAAGAUUAACUUACGGAUAGUAUUCUAAAAAGUUUGGAUAAUCCUCCGAUUAAAUUAGAAAAUCAGAGAAUUUAGUUAAUACAUGAUUAUAACAUCAAGGAAUAUAUCGAAAUUUGAAAUUCUACCUCACUGGAAAUAGUGUUUGUAUAUUUGAAAUAACCCAUUAUAACUCUGAAAAUAAUAUUUCUGGUGUAUGACAUAUACCAUUAACAAAUUGAGUAAGGUAUAAUGAAUCCAACUCCACCACCAAUGGAGACAAACUAAUCUUACUAGCAUAUAUAUCUCCCGCAGUUUAACUUGUUUUAACUUUUAUUACUAUCAAAAUAAAUUAUGUUUCUUAUAUUUUAGAGUUUGAUUUUAAGUUCGGCCCCACCGAACAUAUAUUACACCAGUACUAUUAAAAUGAAAAUAAAAACAUAGGCUACAAAAUAGUACCGAACAUGCCUUUUGAUUCAUCGGUAGACAACGCUCACAUCGAAAGUUCAUUUGACCAGCCUUUACUUCAAUAUAACAAACUUAAUGUAAACUUCCUACAUUUUCUUUUAAAAGCUCGAACCAUCAAUUUCUUGCAAAAAAUGUUACUGAAAAAAAAGAAAAAGAAAAAUUUCAAUAGUGUAUGGUCCGAAUUUUAAAAUUAAAAAAAUGCGUUCAUCAAUCAUCACGAGGAGAUAAAUAUUAAUAACGUUAUUUUUUCUUUUGUGAAUUACUUUUAAUGUUUUUAAAUAUCAAAAACAUAUUUGUUAAUUGCUCAUCGCUUCUGGGCUGAUCUACGGUCGGGUCUUUUAAUUUGCAUCCAUCUCUCUUUAUUAGUUAAGACUUGGAACACCAUAUCUUACGUUAUUACAUUCAAAGACGAAAUAGAAUUUGUGGCCCGGUCGCUACGUUAUGUAUUAUGUAUGAAACCGAGGAAAUUGAGGAUCCAAAUGAACAAGAAUUCUUGAAUGAAUGUUAUUGCAGCAGAGGAGUAAUUACUCGGUCCACGUAACAAAUGAAUUACUCUAUGAAGUCUGUAAUCUCUAGCCAAAAAGUCAAAAAUAAUGAAACAAACUUCAAUUUACCGAAACGCGUGGGGCACCCAAGACUCAUGAAAAAUGGGAACGACGCUUUGAUUCUUUAUUAGCCUUCCUCAUUGUCAAAACCUGAGCAAUUUCUGGCAACCUUGUGUUUUUCUUGUUUUACUCAUACGACAUUAGCAUGCGGCAUGUCAUGUAAUCAUUCAACCCACCGCUACAUAAUAAGCUCUUGCUGCGUCAUAAAAAUGGUUCGUAACAGAAACUGAAGUGACAAGCGGACGAAUAAAACACCGCCUUGCACAGGGAUGUGUCACAAGGUUCACCGGUAAUUAUCCGGUUUAAAGAAAGCCAACUAAUUUUAGGGAUUAAUUUUAUGUUGCUCCAUGAUUAUUAUUAAUACAUCACCAUCAACGCCCAACUUUAAUUUAAGUCAUCAUCAUCAUCAACCCAUCCCAGUCUCCUUGUCAUGUAUGGUCAAGUUCAACUGCUGACCAUUUUGACCAUACAAAGACAUUAUUGCCCUCAAUUAAAUGUUACGUCAAUGUAAGAAAAUAAACAUAAAUUUAUUUUCAAGAAAACAAAGAUUUCGUGUAAAUGGAAAAACAAAAAAAAGCAAAAUUAAUAGUUUAAUUAAUGAAAAAAUAUAUUUUAUUUUACGUAAAUAUAAGGGUAACUUUCAUUGCAUACUCAAAUAAACCGACUACUAUUCUACUCCUAGUAAUUUAAAAAUUCAUUACUCCACCUCAACGCAAUUAGUUUUCCAGUUAGACUAUCAAUAAUAAUUGAUUACAUACCUACCGUCAAUGUCAUUAAAUGUUAAUAAAAAGAUAAAUAUACCCUUGAUUUUUUUUUUAUUGGAUUGAUUUUGCAAGAGAAUAACAUAUUCCAUUAUCCAAUUGAUAUAUGGGUAAUAUCAUAGUUAUAAACUCUUCCACAAAUUAUUUUUGUACAAACUAAUAUAGCAUUAUAUAAUUGAUUAAAUGAAAAUAUAAAAUAAUAAAAUUAUAUCAUGUGGGCCAAGUGAUGUCUUAUUUCAACUACUCAUGUGAUGCUACAUCAAUUUAUAUAAGAUAGUUUGUACAUAUAUCGUUGCUCUAUAUAUAUUUCAAACACCCAAUAAUUAAAGAAAGGAUGGAGCUAUUUGAACUUCUCAAAUUCAUCUCUAAACCUAUUUUCUAAAUAAACCUUAAUAGAAUUUAUUUAUUUUCUAUAACUUUGAGAAUUUAAAAAAUAAACCUAAAUAGAAUUUCUAUACCUAAUUGUUCUUGAUUUGAUUUAGAGAGACUUAACUCAGUUAAAUUGAAGAAUGUUUGCAUCAUGCAAAGAUAAAUUUCAAUUAACCAUCCUCGGUUAUAUCCUUUUUCAAUCAUGAAAUCAAUUUUUUGGAUUGUGAUUUGUGCUAAAUAUUCUUUUUCUAAAAGAGGAGAAGAGCUUGUGUGUUCUUAAAUAUCUCUUCAAAAAGUUGAGAACCAAACUACUUACUUCAAGGAUCAACAAGUGCUUUUUGUUUUGCACAAACUCUAUGAAAUGAAAAAUCAAAAGGUAGUUCCAUCUUGUCAUGCAAGCUUUUCAUUAAAAACAUCAAAAAUAUUUUUAAUAUACCAUACAUGUAAACUUAAGAAAAUAUUUUAUUUAUAAACUUGAAUACGAUUUCUCUGAUCAACUUUUAUAUUUUAAUAUCAAAUUAAAAAGUUCACAUUAGUUUAAAUAUAUGGAUGUUAAAAUAUGAAGUAAUUUUGAUACUAACAUGUCUCUAUAAUUAAUUCCAUCAAAGGAUAUUUUAAUGAAAAAAAUGGUUGAAUAUAAAAUAAAUUGGUUGGUUAGAAAUUUUUUGUUUAAAAAAAUGUGGCUACUAAAAAAAAAUCAAUUUAGUUUUGUAAUAUUUAUUUUUCUGUAAAAAUUUAUAAGUUAUAAGAGGUAUUUAACCUAAUUAAAUUAAUCAAUUGAGAGGUAUGAAGGACUUUUAUUCUAGUAGUAGAAAAAUUAAUAGGUUGGGUGUGUAUACAGCUAUACUCUAUACAUACAAAACAAAUGGGCGUGUAUUGACAUAUUUCAGAAUAUUUGGGUGUAGAUGGAAAUGAACGCCGUCGGUUGCCCACAAUUGAUUUCUAUUCUGGCCGUUAAUCCCAACCGUCCAAUUUCAGUCUUUAAAUCCAAAUCAAAAUGCAUGUCUGUUAGUUACAAAUUAAUGUAACAUAUCCCCAGCCGAUAUAAUAGUUUAAUGUUUGAAAGGAUUAGUUUCUCAUAAAAAGAUAAUAAUAAUAAUAAAGUUACACUUCAAUUGUUUUCUUUAAAGUGGUUGAUUGAGUUACUUUUAAAUUAUUUUAUUUAAUUGGUCAUUCGAGUUAGAAUUUCAAAGAAAAUAAAAUAAUAAAUUCUUUAAUUCAGAUUUUGUCCACUUUUCAACUAUUUUAAGAAGAAAAAAAAUUCUUUUUUAAUUGUGCAUAAAAAUUUCGUUGGAACAGAGAUACUGUACAUUUUUGAACUCACACAUGUUAGUUCAAUUAAAUUGCUUUCUCAAGUAGAAGUGAGUAGUGAUGUUAAUAAACAAUAGCGGUUUUUUACAAAGUAAUUUAUAAAAAUGGGCGGGCCGUGGACUAUUCUCUCCGUUUCCAAAACCAAACAUAAUCAGAAAAUGAAAGCUCUCUAAAACCAAGCCUUGAGUCAACAAUAAACUAUGAAAUUUCAAGACUUUUAUUAAUUUCCUUGCAUCUUCUUCUUCACAUAAAUAUCUUUCAUUUUUAUAUCACCAAAACAGAUUGGAACCCAUCAGCUAAUUCACAGUUCAGUUUCCUUAUAGUCUCUGCUUAAUUUCACCGGAAAAUGGGUUUCCAGUUUUUGUUGCCAGGACUGCCUUUAAUUUCUCUUCUGUGUUUCCUAUCAGUACUAGUUGUUGACAAGAUUCAACCAUCUUUAGCCAAUCCUGACUUGUGCAGGAUUCCAUUCGGCUGUGGGAAGAUAAACGCCGGUUUUCCCUUCUGGGGAAGUGGCCGCCCUAAGUUUUGCGGCCACCCUAGCUUUGAGCUCAAGUGUGAGAAUGAAAUGCCUACCAUGAAGCUUGCAGAUGUAACAUACCGUGUGUUAAAUGUCAAUCCGAAAGAACAAGUCGUCAAGCUUGCAAGACAGGAAUACUUUGAAGGGUUAUGUCCGCAGAAUAAUACCACCAUCGAUACAUCACUUUUUGACAUCUCAGGUGGGUACGAGAUGUUUAACCUAAUUUAUAGUUGCCCGAUGUUUCCCGGAAGUUUCAUUUGCAAUAUGAAGGAUGUCAACAAUUACCUGGAUGGCUUCGUACAAUUCACACGCGAUAUUGUGCUUCGCCCGGAUUGUAAUACCACUGUUACUGUUCCGUUUUCUAAAGCUUUGUUGGCAGCCAAAAGGGGUAAAUUUAUCCUACAAAGAGCCCUGGAAGAAGGAUUUGAGAUGAAGUGGAAGCUGUUCGGUUGUGAGGGGAGUUGCAGCAGUUGUGGUUUUGAUUUUUUAAAUCAUAGAGGAAUUUGCUACUGCUCCGGUGGCCAGCUAAAUAGCUCAUCCUCUGGAUGUUCAGCUCCAUCAGCCGCCUCAAAUUCAGAAGGUACGCUAGCUUGCUCCUCAGCUUUUAGUUGUUAUGCAAAAAUCAGUACCAAACAUCAACUAAUUCAAUUACAUUAGCUAGUAGAUGUUCGGCAAUCGGAAAUAUUAAAAAAUCAUGCGUUUGAUGAAAUGCAUACAUCAGAAAAUAUUAGAACUUGUUUGUAUAGAGAAUAAGUUAGGCCGUUCUUUUCGAUCGAUGUCACUGUUAAUACGCCCAACAAUAAACAUCUUCGCAUACAUAUAUAGCUUAAAAUGCAAUUCGUAGCAGCAGCGGCUCCAUGAUUCUGCAAUUUGUAGAAGAACUAUAAAUAUAUAAUUUUUGAAAAAUUCAUUAAUUGGCAUGAAAUAUAAAAACAAAAUUGUAGUUAAUGCGCCUUGAAUUGGCCACCCAACCCAUGACCCGCCACCUUGAUUCUUCGCCCACGCCGUGCUGGCGUUACACGAUUUGACGGGCAAAGUUGGGAUUUUAAUCUUACAUGUCGUCGUUUGAUAGCGUUAGAUAUCGGCGUUUUGACUUUUGAUGGUCUAACUUUUCGAAGUUACUGGGGGUUUAAUUGUCUAUUUACGAAAACCUUUAUUCUUUUCUGACAAAAUUAAUUACAACGUGGAUUAGAUUGCAAAAAACUCAUCCCAAGGUUAAUUACUAGCUCUGACACUUCCUAAUUAUCAAUAAUAAUAGUAAGUACGACAGUUAUCGACAAAGUUUCGUUCAAGGGUUAAACAAGAAGUUAGCAGAUUAGAAGAGGAUUCUAAUUAUUAAUGAUUCCAGCCUUUGUUUUUUUUUUUUUUUUUUUUGGUUUCAAAAUAGAAUUUCCAAGUUUUAAUAAUAGACAAGUUAGAAGUCCAUUCAUUAAUGAUAUUAAUUUAGACUCGCGCAGUUUUUCGAAACCCUGAAUAGCAGCAUCUCUAGUCUAGUCACUUCUAUUUGCAAAUUUGAAAAUUGCCACAAUGAGACAAGCAAUGGAAUCAAAUUACUCCAUUUUUUUUAGUCUGUAAUUAAUCUUUAAUUAAGUACUCUUCUUCCUCUGAGUAUAGUGCCCGAAAGAUAUGCAGCCUCGUCAUCCUCUUCUUCAACCACAUUCUCUCAUCUUUCUUCUGAUAAUCCUUUCUAUCAUUUUAAUCAACACUCAAACGUCUUUGUGUGCCGAUGAGGAUAUCGAUCUGCAUUGGGGUUUAGACAGUGAUCAAUGCAAGAUAUGCAUAAAAUCAGGAGGAAAAUGCAGAUUUGUAGAGAGUAAAUUCGUUUGCUUUUGCCAUAACGAGCUUAGUGUAAUGAAAUGUUCAUCAGAGCCAAGUAAGUCUUCUCUUCUAUUACUGAUCCUCUAGCCACUACUUUUUAGGCUCUUAUCCUUCAUUUCAGAUGGUACUGCUAUGGCUUUUUGAAGUCACCACUGUUGUGAAAUGGACUAAGUAAACGUAGAUAAUUAUUUGAUAAUUAUGACUUUUAAUUUGAACUUUUCAUUAAAAAAAUAUGAUAUGCACCCUCCACAAUGUAAAUUUUUGGGGACAACUUUUUCAUUAAUUCAAAUUUUAAGGAUACCCAUUAAAAUAUCUCAAACUUUUGUUUGCUGUAGGGUUGAGAUAGGAUAAAACUGGGAAAUUUACAAAAAUAAUCAUAAAAUUUUUGUUAUUUUCACAAUUAAUCCUCUCAAUUUUUUUCUAUCAACAUUAGCCAAACACAUGAUUUUCUCCCCAAAUUAUCCUUCUGAACUUGAUCGAGAGUUUCGGAACUGCGAGUCGUGAGUGAAUCUGACGACAGACUGCCUGUCGCACGAAGCUUGAUGCGACAGAUUGCAUGUCGCACCAAAACUUAGAGCGACAGGCGCCUGUCGCACGAAGCUUGGUGCGACAGAUUGCAUGUCGCACCAAAACUUAGAGCGACAGGCGCCUGUCGCACGAAGCUUGGUGCGACAGGCAAUUUUGGACAUACAUUUUCCAGGCAAUCAUCAUCGACGAAAGUUAAAAUUGUUGACUAUUCAAUCACCAUUUCCAUUUUCCAGGUUCUCCGAGAGACUUCUCCAACGCAAGACUUUAGUUACCCAAAAAACAUUAAAAUUAUAUAUAUAUCUACACAAGACUUACAAAUUAAAUCGCUCUUCAAAGAAAGAACAUUCAUAUCCUAUACAUAUAUAUACACUUAAUUUCCAAAUUCCAGAAAUUUCAAGAACUCAUCAUGAGUUGAGUAUAAAUACAUAACCAUGAGAUAAGCUUAAGACAUACAUAGCAAAAGAAAUAAUUGAAAGCGAGCUUUCUUACAAGUUAUAUAAUAUAAUUUAAACGAGAAACUAGAGUUGAACAAAAAUGUCUCUCCUUCCUGUUGGGAUAUCAUCUCUCGUCCAUCCAUAUGGAGGCAUAGACACCUAGAUGGACUGGAAAGAAACUCCACAUGCCCACGUAUUCGAGAUCGAUCUUCCAGGGCUUGCAAAAGAGGAUGUGAUUCUUCAAGUUCAUGGAGAUAGGAUACUUCACAUAAGUGCUGAGAGGAAAAAGGAGCCUGAGGACAAGGGCGACAAGUGGCACUGCCGGGAGAGGCCACACGGCGGCAGCUUCACCAGGUAGUUUCGUUUGCCUGAUGAUGUUAAGGUCGAUGAGAUUAGGGCUUCAAUGCGUGACGGGGUACUAACUGUCACUGUGCCUAUCAAGGACGAUGAGUUGACGAAAAAGAAGAAUAGUAAGCACAAGAAGACAACAUCAUCGGUUUCAGUUGAAAUUGCUGGGGAUGAUGGUGAUGCUCCUGCGCGAUCUCAUGCUCCCAAACGACUCGGCCGUUUCGUCUGCUGCAAAGCUUAAUUAAUUAAUUGAAUGGUUUGUGUCUGCUGCAAAGAGAUAAGGGAGGGGUAUUUUGGUCUCAAAUGUUGUUUUAUGGCUAAUGUUGAUAGAAAUAUUUUUGGGGGGUUAAGAUGAAAAAAAGUAAAAAUUUUUUGGUUAUUACUGUAAAUUUCCCGAUAAAACUGGCUCUCUUAUCUUUAUUUUUCAUGAAAUAACUGCAGAAAAAAAUUAACUUAGAAGCUUCCAGUGCACAUUUUAGCAACCGUACUUUGUGUAAGCGUAGUUGCUGGAUAGUUGCUAGAUAGCAGUACAAAACGGAGCCUUGUGAGCUAGGUCUGUUUGGCAAUUCAUAAUUCUCUCUUUUAUUUUUAUUUUUUUAUUUUUUCCCCCUAAGUCGGCUUUGACCUAUGAGCUGAUCUAGAAUAUGUCAUCAUCAGCCUACCGUGCUAACCUAACCUAGUAACCAUUUAAUAAUUCAUUUGAUGGGAAUUGUUUUUUUUUUCUUUGUAAGUUUUAAAAUAUUAAACAUAGGCAUCAUUUGCUGACUUUAGUUUCGUUCCAAUGCAACAUGUGAGUUCAGGUAUUCAAUAUUCAACUUCAAACUAUGCCUUCUAAUUUUCAAAUUUCCAAAGCCCAUGGGAAAAUAACCAAACGCGCUUCAUACUCGUUUAGGCCAGCGAAUAUCAGCAUUUGCAGCACGUUCCUUGGAGAUCAAAGCUCCAGCCCACUUUCUUUCCACAGAAGGUUCCCCCCAUUUUCAUCACCCCCACUUCGUCAAAGUGAAAAAAAAAAUAAUUUAGUAUCACAGAGAAUGAGAAAUUAAAACCAAUUCGUUUCUUCUAAAUUUUAUAUCUAAUUGCUUGCUCUUUCAAAAUGGGACUCCGACUCCAUCUCCAUCCCCAUCUCCAUCUUGGUCCAAGCAUGAUCGGCUUGUUUUUCUUCGUCAUAAAUAUCAUUUUCGUCCGUGUUCCAACUCCUGUGUCCGCCGAUUAUGAGGAGCAUAAAAACUGCAGCGCCCCGUUUCGUUGUGCUAACAGAGACGAUAUUGGUUAUCCCUUCUGGGGAGGAAAUCGUCCAGAAUAUUGUGGCUACCCGGGAUUUGAGUUGAAUUGCGAGGAAGAUGUUCCUGAGAUUAACAUCUUAAGCAUUACUUACAAAGUCCUGAACUUCGAUAAAGCAACGCGGAUAAUCACUGUUGCUAGAGAAGAUUACUGGGACCAAAACUGUCCAUCAAACUUGGUCGAUACUGCUCUAAAUUUCUCUCUUUUUGAUUAUGCUUCCGCCACAGACAACUUGACUCUGUACUACAGCUGCCCCCCCAACUUUAUGAAUGGUAUGUUUGUGCCGUCGUUGCUGGAUCCCUAUAAGUUUCGUUGCAACUCGGAUGAAUCAAACGCUGGCGAUAACUACUAUUACUCAUGGGAUGUCGAUAGUAUCUUCAAUAAGACCUUCACUGAGACCGUGAAAGCUUACUUCGGUAGUUGUGCGAACAGAGUUCUGCUGCCUCUGCAGCAACCAACAGUUGAGUCUUUGGUGAAAAAUCCGGCUUCGGAAAAUCUGGCUAGAGCUCGUCGGGAAGGUUUUGGGCUGCAAUGGUUUGCAAAUAAUAAUCUCUGCGAAAAGUGUGAACAAUCAAAAGGAGAGUGUGGGUAUUCUGCUAGGACUGGUCAAUUCAAUUGUUAUUGCCCUGAUAAAGCUUAUCCCGAUUCCUGUCCACCCCAAGAAGGUACGUCCCUUUUCCUGAUUGUUCUGUUAGCAUCUCAGUAAGGAUUCCGUCCAUUAGGUUCAAGGUUAGUUUUCGUAAGAGUGUUGGGCUGUUGUUCAGAGUCCACUUAGGGUCGAGUUCGAUGCUCUUUCUCCCCGGAACAGAGACCCGUAAAUUUAGACGAUCACAGAAAUUUGAAUCUUGAAACAGGUCUCUUCAUCCAACAACAAUAGAUUCGAGUUUUCUUCAUCCAACACAAUCACAUAAUAAGAGUCCACGCUUAUAGGGUAGAGUUGAUAGGACCUAUGAAAUCGAAUCACUAGUCCUGAAUUUAGUCCUUAAUUGAAGCAGAGACUCAGAGUACGUAAUUAACCACAAGCCAUUAGAAGCUCUGUUGUUCAAGGUUUUAUUAACCUAACCGCAUAGAGAAACCUUCUUGCUUUUUCUUCAAAGCGUUGACAUAUUCAACCCUUCAUCUUCAAAUUCGAUUGCCAAAAGGUUUUUUUUUUUUUUUUUUUUUUUUUAAAUUUAAUUUCCUUUCCUUAUUAGUUUUGCCUUAGUCGCUUCAAUCUUCAUGGGCUACAACAACUCCGGUAAUUUAUUCCAAGUGUGGGGCCUACCUUUGAGAUUACUCUGAAGUCAGACGUAUUUUAAUUCGGACGCGUUACACGUAGAUCUUGUGCUCGCGUAUGACUGGCAUCUAGAAACAGUCAAACAAGUACUGCUACAAAUGUGUUUGACGGCAAUUAAUUAACCAGAAGAAAAUUGUUUCUUUGAUUUCCAGGGAUUAGGUUUGUGUAGUUAUGUUAGUGGCCGAUUGUCACAUUACAAUGACUUGCUUUGUUGACUAAAUUCAAGAUUGGGGUCGAGGGGUAGUAUUAUAAUUACUUGUGAAAACAAUGGUAGUUAAGCCGCCGGUAACCUAUCGCAUACCAAGUAUUAUCUAAAAAUAUAAUUUCCUUUAAUUUUUAUGAUUUUAAAUCCUUUGUUAAGGUUCCCAAAAACCUCUUUAUGGUGUUAGUUGGCAUCUCCUCCUUCUCUUAACCAUAAGGUGGGGCGUUUGAGUCUAUCAAAUGGUUAUGAGAGUUUUUUCUUUGAAUUCCUAUCCUGAACUUUGAUUGAAAAUAUACAUUAUGUGUUGGGCUUUAAUGGCAUUGUAUAUAAUGUUAAAAAAAAUUAUAAAUUUGAGCUUGUUUGAACUUUUAAAAGAUCUCUGGGCCAUGAGUAUAUGACUAAAAUUUAAUUAAAUUUACAUUAUCAUCUAAUAACUAAAAAUGACCUCUUAUAUUUUGUUCAAAAAAAAAAAAACCUCAUAUAAGAAGAAAAUCUUGGGCCCUUUUUUAAAAUGCAGUUUUUUCCUUUUUCUUUUUUUUUUUGGGCACUUAAAAGGAUUAUAUAGAAAUCAUUACUUCUUGUUCUAAAUACUAAUACAGGAGAAACUCUAAAUAUUUUCAAUGCAUACACAAUCUUCACUCGAAUUUUUGCUACAUUCGCUCUUUCAUGGCAAAAGGUGUACAUUAGGAGUGUCCAAUACUUACUUCUAUUGUAGACGCCUUAAAACGCACAACUAUUUUAGGACAAGAAACUAAGAAGUGAUGAGUUCUUAAAAACUGGAAAUUUGAUGUGGCUUAUAAGUAUCCAACUAGAGAUUCAAUUUCUUGUUUAUCCAUUUAUGAACGCGAACUGACAUUUCUGGAUCCCAUGAUUAUUGCAGGGAAAAAUGGGUUCUCAACCGGAGCAGGUAAUAUUUCACUGCAAAAUUAAUAACUAAUUAAAUAUUUUAACCAAAAAUUAGCAAUACAGAAACUCUCUAAGCUACUUCAUUCUCACUCCUCAGGAAUUGGUAUAGCACUUGGAUCCGCUGCUGCUGUUAUUCUGGGACUCAUUUUCUUUUUCAUUAUACGAAGGAGAAGGAAAACUGCAGCCUAUGCUAAAAGCAGAGACCUCAAAACACCUCCUUCAAGUGCAAGCGGAGCUACAGCUACAACAUCAGCAGCAACAACAACAACUAAUUCCUCGCAAAGCAUCCCUUCUUAUCCCUACUCAAUAACUGAUCUUGAAAGGGGAAGCUCUUACUUUGGAGCUAAAGUCUUCAGCUGUUCUGAACUCGAAGAAGCUACCGACAAUUUCAACUCAUCUAAGCAACUCGGAGAUGGAGGCUUUGGAGCAGUUUAUCUCGGUAAGAAAAUGCAUCAUUGUAGCAGAAGUUGUAUGCUUGACUUAAUAUAUUAAUGUCGAGCACUUACCUAACAGCUUAAGCUUUAAUCAGGUAUCCUCAGGGAUGGCCGCAUAGUUGCAGUAAAGCGGUUAUACGAGAACAAUUUCAAGCGUAUUGAGCAAUUCAUGACUGAAGUUGAGAUUCUUACAAAGUUGCAGCAUCCAAACCUUGUGAAAUUAUACGGAUGCACAUCAAGACAAAGCCGGGAGCUGCUCCUGGUUUAUGAGUACAUUCCCAAUGGAACAGUAGCAGAUCAUCUUCACAACAGGCAGCCGAACUCUUGCUUGCUCCCUUGGCCUGUUCGUUUGAGCAUUGCCAUUGAAACAGCUGAUGCACUUGCUUACCUACAUGCUUCAGAUGUCAUUCACCGCGAUGUCAAAUCCAACAACAUUCUCUUGGACAACAAUUUCCGUGUAAAGGUUGCAGAUUUUGGGCUAUCAAGAUUGUUUCCAACUGAUGUUACACAUGUCUCCACAGCUCCACAGGGGACCCCUGGCUACGUUGAUCCUGAUUAUUUCCAGUGCUACAAGCUCACUGACAAGAGUGACGUGUACAGCUUUGGGGUUGUUCUAAUUGAGCUCAUCUCAGGGUUACAAGCUGUGGACACUAGUAGGCACCGGCAUGAUAUAAACUUGUCUAACAUGGCAAUUAACAAGAUUCAGAAUGGCGCAUUGAACGAGCUUGUUGAUCCAUCUCUGGGGUUUGAAAAGGAUUAUGCAGUGAGAAACAUGGUGACUUCAGUGGCAGAAUUGGCUUUCAGGUGCGUGCAACAAGACAGAGACAUGAGGCCUACAAUGAAAGAAGUGUUGGAGAUUUUGAGGGAGACCAAGGAUUCAAAUCUUGGAACGUCAAAGGCCAAGGUGGUGGAUAUUAGGAUAGCGGAUGAUGCUGCGCUUUUGAAGAAAGAUUCUCCUUCGCUGUCACCAGAUGACUCUGGGACUGAUAAAUGGGUUAGCAGCUCCAAUCCAUCCAGUUCCUUCUAGAGUGUUUCAUCAGAUUUCAGAUUCACUUGUCCUGUUUACGCAUAAAUUCAGAGUUAAUUUGCUCUUGCACUUGACUAUAUUCAGUUAUUAAUACCAGAAAUAUUGUCCAAAGAUGCAAGCUAGGCAAUGUACAUAGUACAUAGAAAUUCGCUAGUAUUUAUUUGUAUCAGGUUUCAAGCUUUUUGGUUAUAAGGUUUUGUAAAGUGGCUGAUCCUACAUAUUUGUUGUGCCUUCACACGUAUGCUUUGAAUGUUGGAUGAUAUUUUUUAAUCAAUUUCUGAUUUUCCUAUAACAAAUUUUCAGUUUCUUACAAAAUGUAAAAAUAGCUUUUGAUUCCCCCCCCCCCCCCCCCCCCCCCUCUCUUGGCUCCUGAAUGGCUGGCGAUAAAAAGUUGGUCAACUAUAAACCCUGGGAAGUACAAGUACAUGAAAAAUCUUAUAUAUGAUUUUCCUUUUUUAAUUUUUAUUGUUGUCACAGGUGAAGAUAAUGUCAUUGUGAUAUUUGCAGAGAUUAAAAUGAGCUUGGUCCGGAGGAAGAGGAUUCCGCCGUUGAACUAAGUUGGUUACAUGGCAUUUGCUCAAAUUUGGUGCUGAAAUUUGAGAGAUUUAUCUGAAUGCGGCAGCUAUCAACAUUCGUGGGUUCAUAAGCCCAAUUAAUUUUUUUAGAUAAGUAGGCGGAGGUUAUUGUGGCCUCGUUCUCCUUUUGUCUAUAGGCCCACAAUGUCAGGGAAUAAAGUUUAUUAGAAAAAAUCACUUUUGAGGGGCAAGGAUAAGCAAAGCCUAAUUUAAUUUUUUUAGCCAUUAAUCACUUUCAAGAUGACUAACUAAAUAAACAUCAUUUCUAAAUUUAUAUUUUAGCUAUCAAUCACUUUCAAGUUGACUAACUAAAUAAUCAUCGUUUUUAAUUUUAUAUUUAAGUCCUAAAUCUUUUAGAAGUGUUCAAUUGUUAACAUUUUUUUAGUGCCUCUAAUAAGAGAUGGUAAUUUUUUUUUUGUGAUGGGAUCUUAUGGAAUCUUGUCCCAUUUGGGACGAAAUUGAAACAUAUUUUUAUAUUACAAAUUAAAAUGGGUCAGAACAAUAACAAAAAAUAAGUCUUGCCUUUAUUUGUGGAAAUGGAGGAGGACCAACUAAAAGAUCUUGUCCGUCAUGUAUAUCCCAUUAAUAAUAUAAUUUUAAAGCUAUUCUAAAUUUUUAAUUAUUUCAUACUUUUAACUUAAGUAAUGUUCAAAGUGGAAACUAAAUGCUAAAAUUAAAUAAUAAAAAUAAUACAAUUAGAAAGUGAAUUGUCAGCCAAAAGCCACAAUUAAAAUUAAUUUUUUUAUGGUCAAAAUAUAAGUUGGUUACUCUUUAAUUCUAUAAUUUUUGAAGUAUAAGUCUUAAUAUUAUUGUGCAAUGGAAGCAAAUAGACAAUUAAAAAAUAUUAGUAUAAAAUUGUAUUCGAAAAUACAUAUAAUAAAAAUAAAACUAUUAUUUGAUUUUUCUACUUUGUAUUUAUUCAAAAUUUUUGUUAUAUGGAAUUAUGGUGAUCCUUAAAAUAAAUUUUUGUAUUUAUUUAUUUAUUUUUGGGACUGUUCAAGAUAAUGGGAUGAGACGGGAUUAGAACAAAUUUUUCUCUCAAAACAAUAAAGUGACGAGAAUUAAAUAUUAUUUUAUCCUACUUGUAUAGCCGAGACAGAACUAAAAUUAGUAAAUCCUAUUCUAUCUUAUCCCAUUGCCAACCCUGCCUUUGAUAAGUAGUGGACUUUCAUUGAAAAUACAAAAAUAUUCAUGUCUAAUGUAUUUUUCCGCCCAUUUAAAAUAAUCCCAAGAAAGAAAACCAAACACACUCAUCCAAAUCAACAAUUUGUACACACAAAUGACAACCCCCCUUUCAUUUGUCUCCACAUUUCAUCUAAUUAUUAACUACACCACCAACAUUUUUACUUUUUGUUCGCACUUCAAACACCUCCGAUACCUACUAAUACUAUUUCCUUUCAAAAAUGAAACAGAAGAGACAAUGAUAGCAAAUGAUCCAAACCCGCCACGUGGCACCCCACAGCGUCCACAACUCGACUCCCCUUCAAAAUUAAAUUCCAUUAUUGACUGUUAAAAACACAAAAACAAAACAAAAGAAUCAAACAAACAAAUGUAAAACGCUGCGUCUCUAAUCUCUCACUCCACUCUCAGAUCUCUCUCUUUCAUUUAAUUUGUGUUCUUUUUUUCUCAGAAACUUUCGAUUUUUCGUUAUGGCAACUCUUCAAAAAGUCAAGCUUUUAGCGACCCAGUGCGCCGUCGCCGGCAGCCCGACGAGGAGCCCGACCGCGAGCCCCGUCAUCCACCUCCGCCGCCGCAAGACACUCCGAAUGCUACUCAAUCGUCGCCGAUUUACUCGCCAAGACGACGACAAUUUGGAGCGGGAAGUCGCCGAUGAGUUACCGGAGAUCAAGAACAAGAAGAUUAGAGCCAAGUUGAAGGACUUGUUCGUCUCGUCGCCGCCGUUUGAGGAGAGAGACUCGGAGAGUAGUGGCAGUGGAGAUAGACAAGGGCUUUUACCGGUUACCGGAACUGUGGGUAGCGGUUCAGCUACGAGGCGAGGCUCGGCCGGUUCGCUUCGACCGGUUUCGGCUACUUUUCGGUAUAGACUUUUGAGAAGAGCUUGGCGACCCAUGCUUGUUACCAUCCCAGAGUAAUUUGUAGAAAUAAAUUAAAAUUAAAGUUGUGAAAAAGAAUGUAUGGAUAAAUUAAAAUUUAGUUUGAUUUUUUUAUUUAGUUUUUGGGUAAAUGAAUAAAGUUUUGGAUGAAGAAAUUAUUAAUUUUGUUUGCUAAAAAAGAAUAUUUGGGCAAUAUUUAUAUGUACUACAAAUUAGACUAGAUAUUUUUGUAACAAUUUGGUCUCGAACUUUAAUCGUAUCAAUGCUUAACGAAGAUGUAUAGUGUAUUUUAGGGUAGAUGACACAAAGAUGUGUACGGGCUUAUUUUAGCAAAAUUUUAAGAUUACUAUAGUAUUUAUUUUGUGGAAAUACUACUUUAUUUUAGAUUUAAUGGUUGAGUUAUGUGAAUAAUAAUAAUAAUAAUAAUAUUGUGGGUGGGGGCAAGAAUAUUGAAGGUGUUAUAGAUCAUGGAGGCAGGGCCAAGACAAAGAAUCGAGGAAAUUAAUAAUUUCUUAAUAUAAAGCCUGUCGAGUGUCGAUUUUGCAGCUACCAUGUGUUAAAUGUUCAGUAAUGCAAAACAAGUUAGUGUACUUUGUACAUACUGCUACAGUAGGACCCAUGAUGAAUGAUUUUUUGGGAAGCAUAUGAUAUGAUCAACUGGUCACACUUGGCAAAGUUUUGGGGGGCUCAAUAUUAUGAUGUUGAGCACCAAAUCUUGAUGUGUAAUCAUGGUUGUUAUAAUUCUGUUUACGGUAUGGGUCUUUCUGUAUUCCAAUAGUUUCCUGAAAUUAAGGGUGCUUUAAUCUUUGGGAAGAUGAAGCAUCCCACUUGGGGGGAUCUUUGAAUUUUUUUUUUUUUUAAUAAUUUUGAUUUAUAGCUUUAGUAUGGUGCAAGUAAAGGGUAUGUUUCCUUUUGGGUAUGUAGGUUGUUCCAAUUGCGUGACUUGCCCAUUCAAAAAGUUUAUUGUUGCUACUUUAUUUUUUUCUUUUUCAUUCUGCAUUAAAAAAUAAAAAUAAAACGCGUUUUAUGGGUCAAAUUUAAGUCAAUGGGCAGGCUCGGAUCAAAAUUUCAGAUUGAUUGGGACAACAAACUUCUCCACUCACCCGAAACACGCAGGUUAAGUAUGCACUGAAUGUGAAGGAUUGAAUUCACAGACCCUUUCCAAAUUCCAACGGGUUUAGAUAGUGACAUGGUGACUUGAUAACAUCGAAGUCUUGGUCAAUUCUUCUGUAUCGGCGGCUAUGCACAAGAAUAACAACCAAGUACAGCUGCAGAAUUUUCCCCGUGCCAGGUUCUUCUUUGCCUUUUUGGAAAAUGAAAAAUUUAUUCGACGGGGAAGAGAAGAGAGAAUAUUGUAUUAUACUAAAGACUUAAAGCACUUAAGCAUGCCCCGUGUUUAUUGUUUGCAUUGUCGCUCUGCUUUGGAUCUGCACUCCCAACAUUUUCAUGAUGCAAUUGCAAUCCUUUAAUUUAAAGCGAAAUGCUCAACUCAACGUACAUAAUACAACACACACAUUUCCAAUUUCCAAAUCUCUCUUGACCCCCUUUUUUUUUUUAAUCCUAAAAUUCUGUACCGUACGUUCCUAGCUGCCGACGUAGUUAAAAAUUCCCAAGUACGCAUGGUGACCUUUGACAAUGUCUUCACGGCAGAAUCUCAUGGGCUCUCUCUCUUUCCUCUUCAUUAAUUAUUAUUAUUUUUUCUUAGAUCCUCAAUGGCUUCUUCCAAAGCCAUCUUGGUUUGUCUUGGUAACUCAUUGUUGCUUAUCAGAAACCUUGUUAGCUCGUCGGUAAUCGAACUCCCAUCCAUAGCCAAAAUCCUACAUAUGGUUUUGCAAGACGUGAUAAUGUAUGUGAGAAAUGAAAUCAUAGCCUUCCUAAGCUAGUCUUCAACAAUACUAUUAUUUACAAAGCUUUGUCUAUACCCCGUGUUAAUUUAAUGUGACUUGUUAUUUCGUGAUUCAUGUGUUUUUAAAAUGGGUAAAUUUGUCAUAAAAACACCCUAGGGGAUUAGGCAUUGAUUCCCGGCUGGUGCUUGUUUUUCUAAGAACGACAUGAAACAUGAAUUUAUAGCUAAAAUGCACGCAUCAAUCCUGCAUGUUGCCGAAAUUAAGUUCAUGUCCACUUUAAUAAAAAAGUCAGCUCACUGUUAAUGUCACUAAGAUUAAAUUAAGCUAUUCGAUAAUUUCUCUGACUCUGCAGCCUCAUUGAUUACGUUUGUUAGAAUCCAAAUUAAUUAAAAUACUAGAAAUCCAAUCUUACCCAUUGAGUUUGCAAGCAAUGUUUGACUCCACGAAUUGUACGGUGCUUCUUAGACUCAAACUCUCACAAAGCCAGCAACAUUUCUGCAAAUAGUAUUUCUGAAAUUGGUUCUCCGCCAUGCAAAAUUCAGAAUCAAAUUGUAUUAUUUUGGUCACAAUUCUCUUGUUCAGCUUCAUCUGCCGUCUAAUCUUCGAUUCCUGCGCUUGCUUCCUCUCUUCUUCAUUGCCGUAAUAUAUAGCCGAUUUCAAGUGUGUACUUAAACCAAAAUUCUGAAAAAAAAGAAAAGAAAAGAGAAAGAGAGAGAGAUGAAUAAUCACCAUUAUGACGAUUUAUAUGUACAUUAAUCUAUUAACGUGAAAUCCUAAAAUGGAAACUGAAUAGAUAGAUCAUUAAUUACAAGGUAAUUUCUAUUAGUGGGAUCAUGAGUUUCCCAGAAAAUAUCACAGAGUGAUUUGUAUGAUAUUGUUUGCUUAUCGUAAAAGACUUUUACGGCUUCAGUGUGGCCUGUUAUUCCUUCACAAACCUGUAAUAAUAAUUUAGAAAAAUAUAUCAACAAAUAUGUAUUCUGAAUUGGGUUUAAAGAGUUUUUGGCAUUCUUUAACAUUUUUUUUUUUUAAAUUUUACCUCUCUAUAUGUAGGUUUUUUGAGGGUGCCUCCGCAAUAACCUGUAGCAGUUCUCAUGACUCCAUUUAAGCGUCCAAAUGCUGAUUCAAGAUCCAAAAAAUUACCUGCAAGAACCCACCCAAAUUAAUCUAAAUUAAAACCAAAAUGAAACAAAAAUAAAACACUCGCGAUGAAGAGUAAGUAGACCUCCUGCAAAUACUGCUUCACUGAAGAAAUUUGUUGGUUCAGAGACCGAAACUUGUGAAGUUAAAUUAUCGGAUUGAGGAAGUAAUUUGUACAUGGUGUUGAAAUCAGUAUUGAAUUACGAAAAAGAGUUGCAUGAGCUAAUGGGGUUACAGCUUCGUCAAUUGAUUCGCAUAUAUAUAAUAUUUAUAAACUUGAAACAUUGAGAUAUAAUAUUGUUUUUGCAUUUUUUUUUCUUUCAAUAAAGCGUCUGAAUUCGUUUAGAGUUUCCACAUUAGCUGUACAUGUAUAUGUUUGAAUAUUUUAUGAGGGGAGGAGAUCGAAUGCGAUAGGUUGACUUUCAAGAUUUAUGAAUGAAAAAAAGACUAAAUAACAAAUGUAAGUUUUUUGUUUUUUUUUUAACUUCUCUCUCAUUCACAUGAAUUUUUUAAAGAUUUUAUAUCUCAUGUCUAUGAGUAAUAAUAAUAUAAGAUUGAGAUUUAUCUUUCUCUUAUAUUUUAUAUACUAAUCACUAAUUAUCUACAUAAAUUAUGCUCGUAAGAAAUUGCUCAAAUCUAGAAAGUAUUUUGGUCUAAUUUUGACAUCAUUUUUUUAAAAUUUUAUUUAUUUGCCUGUUUUCCUUAACCUAUUUUUCUCAUUAUCGACGACAAAUUAAACAAAAUAAUUUCAGUUUUAUUACAAAAAUGUCAGCAUCAAACAGACAAGACAGAUAAUUCCAUGUGGAAUUCUGAGGUCAGCUCACAGCUGCUUGAAACUUGAAUUGUCUGCUGUAUAAAAUUAUUGUUAUGUAUAUAUAAUCUGACGUUAUUUAAAUUUAUUCUCAAGUAUUGUUAUUGUAUGCGAUUAAUGAAUUUUUCCACAAUACUUCUCCCAUUACUAUCAAGCGAUGGCCUACGGGAUGUCCUUAAUGGGCUUUUCGGGAUUUUGUUGGCCCACAAAGCCAAUGGGUAUUAAAGGCUUGGCCCAGUGGACCGGACACACCACUAACGCAUGUCCCCUCGCCUCUCUCUCUAGAACGAUAACAAAAAAAUUAUAUCUCCAAACACUUUAAUUAAGUUUUAAAUAAAAAUUGCUUGUCAGUCUGUUUAACCAAAUUAAUCGAUUCAUGGAAAACACUGGUAAUUAAAGGGUGAUAAUUAAUUAACAUUUGUGUAGCAUCACGCAUUGUAGGUAGGUAUAAGCUUUUUUAAUUUGUCUUCUCAAAUAAGAAAAUUGUUUCCCUAAGAAAAAAAAAAAAGAAGAAAAAAAAGUCAAAAAGUGGAAAAGAGCUUUUUCUAUGAAAGCAAAAGAGAAAAGACAUGCAACAAAAAAGUUAUUGAAAAGAUUUAACAGUAGCACCUGUUACUUUGGUUUGGUAUAUCCUUUCUAUUAAAAAAAUAAUAAUUGAUUAAUACAUGAAGAUAAAUCACAUUGCUAAAUGUUAAAUCUCUAAUAUUGUCUCCAGAAAAAUUAUAAUAACACAUAUGUAAAAAAUUAAAAAAAAAAAAAAAUCAAAGCAGAUGAAUCUUUAUACACAUUCUCGUUUCAUUUUCAACUCAAAUGAACAAUUUAUGAGACUUUGAAAUGUCAACACAAGACAAGAGGAAGCAAAGCUCUUUGGCGCAUGAGCGUCAUAAUUUUGAUGCAUGAAUAUUGAGGCCCUCCCCGUGGACCUCAUUCAUUUCUCUUUAUUCUUUUGCCCCUUAUUAAACCCAAAAUAUUUCUCUUUAAAGCACACAAUUUUCUCCUUUUUCGCCUCUGCAAGAAUUAUUAUAAAAGAGAAAGUUUCUCUGAGAAACUGUUUCAGAGCAAUGUGUAUGGUGCUCAACGAAGACCUAGUUACAUAAUUUCAAAGGCGCGUGGGUGGAAAUUAGGUAUAAUUAAUUCUUUUUGGAUAUUCCUUUUUUUUUUUUAAUACUGAUUACACAUCAUAUUACUGCAUUACAUAGAUAUUUACAACAACUGCUAUUAUAACAGAUAUAUUAUACAGAUAUUUACAACAACUGCUAUUAUAAUAGAUAUAUUACACUGAUAUUUACAAUCAGAUAUACAUGAUUGAGACUUACAUUAUUACAUUAAAUUCUGUGAAGUAUAUGCCCAGACAAAUAACCCAUCACAGAGGAGGGAUGUCCAUGCUCCACUCGCAUUUCGCAAGAGAGAAGGAUUUAUAGAUAUUAAGAACAUUUAGCCCUCACAAUGCUUUUGUGGGGGCUUGAGCGUGUGAGGGCAGCGGCCCACCACUUCGACCAAGGCCGAAGUGGCGGAUAUUCCUUUCUAAAGUUACAAGAAAACUGUUUUAUUAUUAUUAUUAGUAUUAUUAUUUUUGUUAUUUUAUGGUUUUCUGAUGAAGUUUGCUACGUCUCAUCUUGUACCUAAUAUAUAUAUAUGUAUAUAUAAUUUAUGAUAGUAUCAAUGUGGUACGAUGAGAGGUAGUGCUAUACAAGCAUUUUGUUUUUGUCCUCCUCCUCCAAAAUGUUAAAUUGUUAAUCAUCUAUCUAUCCAUAGCUACUUAUAUGCCCAUAAUCCCCUUUUUCUUCUAAUUCUUCUUUUUCCCCCCUUAUUUUUGGUAGAAUGGCAAAAUAUUAUAAUGCAAAAAAAAAAAAAUGAUACAGAGAAUACAAGACGCAACCCUAAAUGAUGAGUUAUUAGACGAUUAUGAAACAAAAUAAUAUUUAAAUAAACCAUAAGAAUUACCUCAUAAUCUCUUUAUUAUAGUUUUUUUAGGUGAAUCGUAUGAUGUAAAAGUUGAAUAAGACACUAUGUAUUUACAAGACAAUCUACAAGCAUAUUAUUAUUAUUUUUUCUCUACAGAUAUGAAAGCAAGUAAAUUAAAUCAAACGAAAACAAUUUGACAAUUCAACCACCGUUUAUGUAAACACCGUGGCGUGGAAGGUUGAAAUUUUGUGCUCAUAAGGCUAAAGAAUUUCAAACGUAUUUGUGUGAAAAGUCGUAUUUAUAAUUAGAAACCGGUUGGGAUUUUAUUUAUUUGAAAAAUUUGCCCAUACAUGGGAGAGUGAAAUUUUUUUAUAAAAUUUUAAAAGAGAGUAGGGUUUGAGGGUCCAGCUAUAUACCUUGCUCCUCCGGCAAUGUACCCCAUUUUUUGCCCCCAUUCGAAACAACUGUUGGAUUUCAUCUUGUAUAAUCCAAAGGCUAUAGUUUUAUAUACGCGAUACACUCAAUAUAUAGAAACGUGUUACCAUUUGAGCUGACGAAAACGAUGAUGAAUUUAUGAAGAGAGUGAAAAGGUCAAAAGCCGCGAAAUUAUUAAAAGCUCAAAUUCUUUAGCUGAAUAUUUACUACGAGUUGAGACGGACUCCCAUGUAUCAGUUUUAUGAUCGCUUGGUAUCUUUUUCAUUUCAAUCUAACAACAAUCUCUUCGCUUCGAGAUAAACUAAAGGGGCAACAUGACGUGGCCAGAGUUUGAAAGCAUUGUUAAAGACAAUUGUACCCACUAUGCACUCUCUUUUUUUUUUUUUUCUUUAUUCCAAAUUUAAUAAAUUCCUCGAAACUUCAAUUAUGAUGAUUGAGGAAGAGAAUAUGCCUUUGAACGGACCCAUUUGGUUGGCAUUACCCGUACCUUAUCAGGUUUCAUUUUUUUUUUUUUCCUGAUAAGAGGAUUGAAUUGAAUUAUCCAAUGUGAGAUCCCAAUUAAAAAAUUCAGCCAAUUAGCAUUUGGCAAUUACUUCAAGCCGGCGCGUGCAGGCACGGACUGAUUCUGAAAGUGGGGAUCAAUAUUAUGCUGUACAACGGAGCCCCGGUCCUACGUAAAACAUUACAACUUCCAUCACCGUACGUGCCGCCUUACUAUAUUGCGACACAUCAUUAAAAUCUGUUACACGUCAGAACUGAACCACCGUAUAUGGACCCCACUCCUACGACAGAAGCAAAUGACGUGUUUGGUUGUAAUUAUAGAUUUUUUUACGUGCUUCGAAACAUUUUUUUUUUUGUUGAGAAGCUAAACAUUUUUUUUUUAAUACGUUUGAAUUUAAAAACUUUUUUAUAUUAUUAGUCUUUCAGUAUUUAAUUAAUAUAAAAUUAAAAGCUGUGCUACACAUUUUAAAAUUUCAAAAUAAUAUUUAUUAAUUGAAUUAUAGGAUAAUGUAAUUAAUUUAUUUAAUAAUUAUUACAUACCACAUUAUAUCAUUUAAAAUAAUUUAAAAUAAAAUUUUAAAAUAUUUAUCGUUACCAUAAAAUUAAUAUAAUUUCCUAUUCAACGAUUAAUAUAUUAUAGUAGUACAAACAUUAAAGUUCAAUUCACCCCAAGGUCAAGAUUGGGAAAUGAUUUCCUUUGAUAUUUAUAAUACACAAAACCAAAAA
Molecule: long non-coding RNA, 43767 nt
Filed under: Citrus maxima (pomelo)
Lineage: Eukaryota; Viridiplantae; Streptophyta; Magnoliopsida; Sapindales; Rutaceae
Description: long non-coding RNA (CMAX_LNC002895)
Source: RNAcentral